Molecule: ribosomal RNA, 324 nt
Filed under: uncultured eukaryote
Lineage: Eukaryota
Description: partial 18S ribosomal RNA
Rfam family: Eukaryotic small subunit ribosomal RNA
Source: RNAcentral
CCCUUAGAUGUUCUGGGCUGCACGCGCGCUACACUGAUGCGUUCAACGAGUUUACGGCCUUGCCCGAUAGGGUUGGGUAAUCUUCUUAAAACGCAUCGUGAUGGGGAUAGAUUAUUGCAAUUAUUAAUUUUCAACGAGGAAUUCCUAGUAAGUGCGAGUCAUCAGCUCGUACUGAUUACGUCCCUGCCCUUUGUACACACCGCCCGUCGCUCCUACCGAUUGAGCGAUCCGGUGAAUGUUUUGGACUGGCGUCAGAAGCGGUUCGCUCCUGACACUACGAAAUUUUGUAAACCUUAUCGCUUAGAGGAAGGAAAAGUCGUAACA